GAGGUCGUGGUGGAAUCGGCAGACACGCUACUUUGAGGGGGUAGUGAGCUUAGCUCGUGUGCGUUCAAGUCGCAUCGACCUCACCA
This 86-nucleotide transfer RNA is filed under the name Allobaculum sp. RNAcentral's name for it is "tRNA-Leu". The record is from RNAcentral. Lineage: Bacteria; Bacillati; Bacillota; Erysipelotrichia; Erysipelotrichales; Erysipelotrichaceae.